UCCAUUUUUAGCAACAAGUGUGAUGAAUUGAGAUUCAUCACCGGUCAUGUAUCUUGAGUACCCGCUAUCAAGAUACCAUCUCUGGUUUGCUCCUUAAGAUGCAAGACACACCUAUACACAAGAAUCAAAUUUUGACUUUAGGUACCCAAGUUUUUUUAGAUCUUUUUUGGUUAGUCAUAAUGGUUCCUUUUGGAACCCAUAUUUUCUUUAUAUUGAAAUUUUCAGAUUUGUUAGAAAAAUAUGAAUAGGAUUUGUGUCCUAUUCUACCACAUUUAAAGUAAGUUAUAUUUGAAAACUUGUUGUAUGAUGAGUUUACAAAGAUAUUUUUCAAAAAUUUUUAUUUCUUUAAAGGGUUAUAUCCA
Molecule: long non-coding RNA, 362 nt
Filed under: Elaeis guineensis (African oil palm)
Lineage: Eukaryota; Viridiplantae; Streptophyta; Magnoliopsida; Arecales; Arecaceae
Description: long non-coding RNA (EGUI_LNC009481)
Source: RNAcentral